This is a non-coding RNA of Picea glauca (white spruce), 124 nucleotides long. Lineage: Eukaryota; Viridiplantae; Streptophyta; Pinopsida; Pinales; Pinaceae. The record is from Rfam.
UCAUAUGUACAUACCUACAACGUUGAUGCACUAGAUCCCACUAGAAAUAUGUAGUUAAGCACGCUUGGGCUAUAGUAGAAUCGGGGUGGGUGACCUCCUGGGAAGUCUUGGUGUUUUACAUGCC